GGGGAUUUAGCUCAGUGGUAGAGUGCUUGCCUAGCAAGCGCAAGGCCCUGGGUUCGGUCCCCAGCUCCG
Molecule: non-coding RNA, 69 nt
Organism: Rattus norvegicus (Norway rat)
Lineage: Eukaryota; Metazoa; Chordata; Mammalia; Rodentia; Muridae
Source: Rfam